GCUGGAGUGGUGGAAUUGGCAGACACGCUAUCUUGAGGGGGUAGUGCCCUAUCGGGCGUGCGGGUUCGAGUCCCGCCUCCAGCA
RNAcentral lists this transfer RNA (84 nucleotides) under Calditrichia bacterium. RNAcentral's name for it is "Calditrichae bacterium (marine sediment metagenome) tRNA-Leu". It matches the Rfam family "tRNA". Rfam says of the family: Transfer RNA (tRNA) molecules are approximately 80 nucleotides in length. Their secondary structure includes four short double-helical elements and three loops (D, anti-codon, and T loops). Further hydrogen bonds mediate the characteristic L-shaped molecular structure. tRNAs have two regions of fundamental functional importance: the anti-codon, which is responsible for specific mRNA codon recognition, and the 3' end, to which the tRNAs corresponding amino acid is attached (by aminoacyl-tRNA synthetases). tRNAs cope with the degeneracy of the genetic code in two manners: having more than one tRNA (with a specific anti-codon) for a particular amino acid; and 'wobble' base-pairing, i.e. permitting non-standard base-pairing at the 3rd anti-codon position. The record is from RNAcentral. Lineage: Bacteria; Pseudomonadati; Calditrichota; Calditrichia.